CCAUAUCACCACAAGCUGUGAUCUCAGAUACAAAGAGCUAAGCACAGUCAGCCGGAAUCAGCAGUUGGAUAGGAGACUACUAGGGAAAGCUUAGCCGUGGUCUACA
This 106-nucleotide ribosomal RNA is filed under the name Gopherus agassizii (Agassiz's desert tortoise). The record is from RNAcentral. Lineage: Eukaryota; Metazoa; Chordata; Testudines; Testudinidae.